GCAGUAGCCACGGUAAUACGAAGGUCCCAAGCGUUGUUCGGAAUCACUGGGCGUAAAGGGAGCGUAGGCGGCGUGGUAAGUCAGAUGUGAAAUCCCGGGGCUCAACCCCGGAACUGCAUCCGAUACUGCCAUGCUUGAGGGUUGGAGAGGUAGCUGGAAUUCUUGGUGUAGCAGUGAAAUGCGUGGAUAUCAAGAGGAACACUCGUGGCGAAGGCGAGCUACUGGACAACAUCUGACGCUGAGGCUCGAAGGCCAGGGUAGCGAAAGGGAUUAGAUACCCCGGUAGUCCCUGUCUCUUAUAC
RNAcentral lists this ribosomal RNA (302 nucleotides) under uncultured bacterium. RNAcentral describes it as "partial 16S ribosomal RNA". It matches the Rfam family "Bacterial small subunit ribosomal RNA", at positions 508 to 807 of the family's 1533-position model. The record is from RNAcentral.